AGAGUUUGAUCAUGGCUCAGGAUGAACGCUAGCGGCAGGCUUAAUACAUGCAAGUCGAGGGGCAGCGCGGGGUAGCAAUACUCUGGCGGCGACCGGCAAACGGGUGCGGAACACGUACACAACCUUCCUUUAAGUGGGGAAUAGCCCAGAGAAAUUUGGAUUAAUACCCCGUAACAUUAUGAUAUGGCAUCAUAUUAUAAUUAAAGCUCCGGCGCUUAAUGAUGGGUGUGCGGCUGAUUAGGUAGUUGGCGGGGUAACGGCCCACCAAGCCUUCGAUCAGUAACUGGUGUGAGAGCACGACCAGUCACACGGGCACUGAGACACGGGCCCGACUCCUACGGGAGGCAGCAGUAAGGAAUAUUGGGCAAUGGAGGCAACUCUGACCCAGCCAUGCCGCGUGGAGGAUGACGGCCCUCUGGGUUGUAAACUUCUUUUAUAUGGGACGAAAAAGGGCCUUUCCAGGUCAACUGACGGUACCAUUUGAAUAAGCACCGGCUAACUCCGUGCCAGCAGCCGCGGUAAUACGGAGGGUGCAAGCGUUAUCCGGAUUUACUGGGUUUAAAGGGUGCGUAGGUGGGUUGGUAAGUCAGUGGUGAAAUCUCCGGGCUUAACCCGGAAGCUGCCAUUGAUACUAUCAGUCUUGAAUAUUGUGGAGGUCAGCGGAAUAUGUCAUGUAGCGGUGAAAUGCUUAGAUAUGACAUAGAACACCAAUUGCGAAGGC
This 721-nucleotide ribosomal RNA is filed under the name uncultured bacterium. RNAcentral's name for it is "bacterial SSU rRNA". It matches the Rfam family "Bacterial small subunit ribosomal RNA", at positions 8 to 722 of the family's 1533-position model. The record is from RNAcentral.